This 565-nucleotide ribosomal RNA is filed under the name Glomus chinense. RNAcentral's name for it is "SSU rRNA". It matches the Rfam family "Eukaryotic small subunit ribosomal RNA", at positions 548 to 1114 of the family's 1831-position model. The record is from RNAcentral. Lineage: Eukaryota; Fungi; Glomeromycota; Glomeromycetes; Glomerales; Glomeraceae.
UUGGAGGGCAAGUCUGGUGCCAGCAGCCGCGGUAAUUCCAGCUCCAAUAGCGUAUAUUAAAGUUGUUGCAGUUAAAAAGCUCGUAGUUGAAUUUCGGGAUCAAUAUAUCGGUCGUGCCAUUGGUACGUACUGGUAUGAUUGGUUUCUCCUUUCUGACGAACCAUGAUGUCAUUAAUUUGGUGUUAUGGGAAGUUAGGACUGUUACUUUGAAAAAAUUAGAGUGUUUAAAGCAGGCUUUGGCUUGAAUACAUUAGCAUGGAAUAAUGAAAUAGGACGUUCGAACCUAUUUUGUUGGUUUCUAGGAUCAACGUAAUGAUUAAUAGGGAUAGUUGGGGGCAUUAGUAUUCAAUUGUCAGAGGUGAAAUUCUUGGAUUUAUUGAAGACUAACUACUGCGAAAGCAUUUGCCAAGGAUGUUUUCAUUAAUCAAGAACGAAAGUUAGGGGAUCGAAGACGAUCAGAUACCGUCGUAGUCUUAACCAUAAACUAUGCCGACUAGGGAUCGGAUGAUGUUAAUUUUUUAAUGACUCAUUCGGCGCCUUACGGGAAACCAAAGUGUUUGGGUUC